RNAcentral lists this ribosomal RNA (506 nucleotides) under uncultured bacterium. Its description in RNAcentral is "partial 16S ribosomal RNA". It matches the Rfam family "Bacterial small subunit ribosomal RNA", at positions 30 to 523 of the family's 1533-position model. The record is from RNAcentral.
AUUGAACGCUGGCGGCAGGCCUAACACAUGCAAGUCGGACGGUAGCACAGAGGAGCUUGCUCCUUGGGUGACGAGAGGCGGACGGGUGAGUAAUGUCUGGGAAACUGCCUGAUGGAGGGGGAUAACUACUGGAAACGGUAGCUAAUACCGCAUAACGUCGCAAGACCAAAGAGGGGGACCUUCGGGCCUCCUGCCAUCGGAUGUGCCCAGAUGGGAUUAGCUUGUUGGUGAGGUAAAGGCUCACCAAGGCGACGAUCCCUAGCUGGUCUGAGAGGAUGACCAGCCACACUGGAACUGAGACACGGUCCGGACUCCUACGGGAGUCAGCAGUGGGGAAUAUUGCACAAUGGGCGCAAGCCUGAUGCAGCCAUGCCGCGUGUGUGAAGAGGGCCUUCGGGUUGUAAAGCACUUUCAGCGGGGAGGAAGGCGGUGAGUUUAAUAAGCUCACCGAUUGACGUUACCCGCAGAAGAAGCACCGGCUAACUCCGUGCCAGCCGCCGCCGUAA